This 45-nucleotide non-coding RNA is filed under the name Schistosoma haematobium. The record is from RNAcentral. Lineage: Eukaryota; Metazoa; Platyhelminthes; Trematoda; Strigeidida; Schistosomatidae.
AUCCAGCUGACGAGCCUCAAAUAAGACGAAACUCACGUCCUGGAU